UCCUUUUCCAUGAACCAAAUGGGGCCUUAGUCCACAUAAAAAUUUUAGUUGCUUGGUUCUUAGGAUAUUUGAGUUUAGAUUUUAUGUUUUGUAGCAUUAAAUCAAUCUUCUUCCCGUAUAGGUUUGCUUCACCAAUGAAAUUCAGAAUUCCAUAAAAAAAGAUUAAAGACACUGAGAUCCGUCCGGAAGAUUUGGGAUGUUCUUCCAGUUCCUGAUAGUCCCGAACUUGAUAAGCAGCUUGAAAUUAUGUUUCGUUGCUAUAUACAACCGAUGAGAUGAGCCUCUGCCUGCGCAGAUGUGUUGGGUGGAUUCGAGCAGCUCCCAUGAGGCUGAUCCUGUGGAGGUUCUUUCAAAACCAUUAUCUUCACUCAGUCUAACAGAUGAGCCACAAACAUCAAGCACCCCUAUCAACAACAUAUGUUGAUCUUGAAGGUUGCGGCCAUUACCUGAUGAUGAUGCAGAAAAAAGAUUAGAAAUAUAUGUUGAUCUUUGAUUACUUGAUUUAGCAAUUCAAUCAAACAAUUACUUCGGUUUCGGAUUCCGAAGUUCGGCCGAUUUGAUCCCCUCGUACAUUUGUGGUUCCUCCGCAAGAAAUAUAACUUGGAUAUCAU
Molecule: non-coding RNA, 611 nt
Organism: Prunus mume (Japanese apricot)
Lineage: Eukaryota; Viridiplantae; Streptophyta; Magnoliopsida; Rosales; Rosaceae
Source: RefSeq, a predicted model, not a curated record